CAAACUGAUAAGAAUUAUAGGAAUUAAACCGAACUGAUUUGAUCUUGUUUAGAACUGAAUUGAGCUGAGUAUGUUCUGAUCUGAUCUGAGCCGAGCUGUCUAUGGUCUGAAAUUGUCUUGAACUGAUGUCGUCUGAGUAUAACCGACUUAAGCUGUUGGGAACUGAUUAGAACCGGAGUUAGCUGAGCAUGAACUAAGCUGAUAUGAACCGAGUUAAAUUGUUAAAGCUUCAACCGAACUGAACUGCUUUGAACUAAGCUGAGUAGAGUUUCCACACAGCCUGUAUGUUGGAAUCAACCUGACUGGUCUUGUAUCCACACAUUCUGAAUCAGGAGUGAAAUAGAGUGUUAUUAGUUGAGCUCGAGUUUAGUCUUUCCUAGCCAAUCUCAUGGAUUUAAAGGUGAGUCUAGAUAGAUGAUGAAUGAAUUAUGAAUGAGUAUGCAUGAUUGCAUAUUGAAUAUGGUUGAUUAAUUAAGAAUUAAUCAUGAAUUAAUUAAAGGAUAAUCAUU
Molecule: long non-coding RNA, 509 nt
Filed under: Brassica napus (rape)
Lineage: Eukaryota; Viridiplantae; Streptophyta; Magnoliopsida; Brassicales; Brassicaceae
Description: long non-coding RNA (BNAP_LNC025703)
Source: RNAcentral